GUGCUCAAUUUAUCAGCACAAAUACUAAAACUGGAACAAUACAGAGAAUAUUAGCAUAGACCUAGUGCAGGCAUGGCAUUAAAAUCUGUGGAGUGUUCCAUACUUAA
Microtus ochrogaster (prairie vole) is the source of this 107-nucleotide small nuclear RNA. Lineage: Eukaryota; Metazoa; Chordata; Mammalia; Rodentia; Cricetidae. The record is from Ensembl.